ACUCCUACGGGAGGCAGCAGUGGGGAAUAUUGCACAAUGGGCGCAAGCCUGAUGCAGCCAUGCCGCGUGUGUAGAAGGCAUGGGCUUCGGUUGAUGAAGCACUUUUCAGUUGUGAGGAAGGUGGUGUCGUUAAUAGCGGCAUCAUUUGACGUUAGCAACAGAAGAAGCACCGGCUAACUCCGUGCCAGCAGCCGCGGUAAUACGGAGGGUGCGAGCGUUAAUCGGAAUUACUGGGCGUAAAGCGCAUGCAGGUGGUUUGUUAAGUCAGAUGUGAAAGCCCGGGGCUCAACCUCGGAACUGCAUUUGAAACUGGCAGACUAGAGUACUGUAGAGGGGGUAGAAUUUCAGGUGUAGCGGUGAAAUGCGUAGAGAUCUGAAGGAAUACCGGUGGCGAAGGCGGCCCCCUGGACAGAUACUGACACUCAGAUGCGAAAGCGUGGGGAGCAAACAGGAUUAGAUACCCUGGUAGGAUAG
This 474-nucleotide ribosomal RNA is filed under the name uncultured bacterium. RNAcentral's name for it is "bacterial SSU rRNA". It matches the Rfam family "Bacterial small subunit ribosomal RNA", at positions 335 to 798 of the family's 1533-position model. The record is from RNAcentral.